Molecule: ribosomal RNA, 1221 nt
Filed under: Acinetobacter sp. MDS7A
Lineage: Bacteria; Pseudomonadati; Pseudomonadota; Gammaproteobacteria; Moraxellales; Moraxellaceae
Description: bacterial LSU rRNA
Rfam family: Bacterial large subunit ribosomal RNA
Source: RNAcentral
GUACCGUAACUUCGGGAGAAGGUACGCUGUUGACGGUGAUGGGACUUGCUCCCUGAGCGGUUGACAGCCUCAGAAACCAGGCCGCUGCAACUGUUUAUUAAAAACAUAGCACUCUGCAAACACGAAAGUGGACGUAUAGGGUGUGAUGCCUGCCCGGUGCUGGAAGGUUAAUUGAUGGGGUUAGCAUAAGCGAAGCUCUUGAUCGAAGCCCCAGUAAACGGCGGCCGUAACUAUAACGGUCCUAAGGUAGCGAAAUUCCUUGUCGGGUAAGUUCCGACCUGCACGAAUGGCAUAAUGAUGGCGGCGCUGUCUCCAGCAGAGGCUCAGUGAAAUCGAAUUCGCCGUGAAGAUGCGGUGUACCCGCGGCUAGACGGAAAGACCCCGUGAACCUUUACUGCAGCUUGACAUUGAACUUUGACCUUACUUGUGUAGGAUAGGUGGGAGGCUUUGAAACUUGGACGCUAGUCCGAGUGGAGCCGUCCUUGAAAUACCACCCUGGUAAUGUUGAGGUUCUAACUCUGUCCCGUUAUCCGGGACGAGGACCAUGUCUGGUGGGUAGUUUGACUGGGGCGGUCUCCUCCUAAAGAGUAACGGAGGAGUACGAAGGUGCGCUCAGCGUGGUCGGAAAUCACGCGUAGAGUAUAAAGGCAAAAGCGCGCUUAACUGCGAGACCCACAAGUCGAGCAGGUACGAAAGUAGGUCUUAGUGAUCCGGUGGUUCUGUAUGGAAGGGCCAUCGCUCAACGGAUAAAAGGUACUCUGGGGAUAACAGGCUGAUACCGCCCAAGAGUUCAUAUCGACGGCGGUGUUUGGCACCUCGAUGUCGGCUCAUCUCAUCCUGGGGCUGAAGCAGGUCCCAAGGGUAUGGCUGUUCGCCAUUUAAAGAGGUACGCGAGCUGGGUUUAGAACGUCGUGAGACAGUUCGGUCCCUAUCUACCGUGGGCGCUGGAAAUUUGAGAGGAUCUGCUCCUAGUACGAGAGGACCAGAGUGGACGAACCUCUGGUGUACCGGUUGUGACGCCAGUCGCAUCGCCGGGUAGCUAUGUUCGGAAGGGAUAACCGCUGAAAGCAUCUAAGCGGGAAGCCUACCUCAAGAUAAGAUUUCCCCGAGGCUUUAUGCCUCCUAAAGAGCCGUUGAAGACUACGACGUUGAUAGGUUGGAUGUGGAAGCAUAGCGAUAUGUGAAGCUGACCAAUACUAAUUGCUCGUGAGGCUUGACUAU